GGGUGCGAUCGUACUAGUACUAAUACACCGGAUUCCAUCAGAACUCCGUAGUUAAGCGUGCUUGGGCUAGUGUAGUACUACGAUGGGUGACCUCCGCAGUUUUUUUAGUUGCAAUUU
This is a non-coding RNA of Gossypium raimondii (Peruvian cotton), 117 nucleotides long. The record is from Rfam. Lineage: Eukaryota; Viridiplantae; Streptophyta; Magnoliopsida; Malvales; Malvaceae.